This 380-nucleotide ribosomal RNA is filed under the name uncultured bacterium. RNAcentral describes it as "bacterial SSU rRNA". It matches the Rfam family "Bacterial small subunit ribosomal RNA", at positions 30 to 410 of the family's 1533-position model. The record is from RNAcentral.
AUUGAACGCUGGCGGCAUGCCUUACACAUGCAAGUCGAACGGCAGCACGGGAGCAAUCCUGGUGGCGAGUGGCGAACGGGUGAGUAAUAUAUCGGAACGUGCCCAGUCGUGGGGGAUAACGCAGCGAAAGCUGUGCUAAUACCGCAUACGAUCUACGGAUGAAAGCGGGGGAUCGCAAGACCUCGCGCGAUUGGAGCGGCCGAUAUCAGAUUAGCUAGUUGGUGAGGUAAAGGCUCACCAAGGCGACGAUCUGUAGCUGGUCUGAGAGGACGACCAGCCACACUGGAACUGAGACACGGUCCAGACUCCUACGGGAGGCAGCAGUGGGGAAUUUUGGACAAUGGGCGCAAGCCUGAUCCAGCAAUGCCGCGUGCAGGAUG